This 775-nucleotide unclassified non-coding RNA is filed under the name Hevea brasiliensis (rubber tree). Lineage: Eukaryota; Viridiplantae; Streptophyta; Magnoliopsida; Malpighiales; Euphorbiaceae. The record is from RNAcentral.
GGUAACUGGACUUCUUACGUUAAAAAAAAAUUGCUCUCUCAAAAAAGGGUAAAGACAAAUAGAAAACUGUGAAAUGCCACAAGCUGGUCUAUUUUGGGAACCACCUAUAGGAACAGAUCCAUUCCUGAAAAAAAAAAGUGUCUAUGAACUUACUUAUUGAGCGCCUCCUUUCACGUGCCACCCCAAAGAAUUUCCUUUGUGUGAGUUCACGAAUGGCAGGCUGCUGUCUUAUCAAGGCUUAAGAGCUAGUGCCACGCCAAACUUGGGAGUCUUAUCCAAGGCUUUGGUGUCGAAUUCACUAGAAAUGGUCAACAAUGACUUUGGAAUCACCUCAUGCUGCAACACAGCCCCCAAACUUCCAUGAUUGUUGAGCUUGAGUUUCACAAUUGUCAAGCAAUCCACAGCAUAGGACCCUCCAACUGUAAAUGUGUUCUCAUUUGUGGAGAAUCGUCUAGUGAUUUCACCUGUAGCAGCUGUCGUCUUCAGUGCAUCCAUAUGAUGUAUAUACGAUGCCUUUAUGGUGUCCCCUUUGUCUCCUAAGAUUAUAGCAGCACAGGAAUCUGGUUUUGUCACGCUAAUGCCAGCAGUAUACUUUGUUAGUUUACUUGUUGCAGUCUCAUAACUUGCCUCUGCACCAAGAGCAAAAGUUGGAGUACCAAGUGUGAUUGAAAGAUCUACUGCAGGACAUUGUUUCAGAGCAACAGCAGUGGUGAAGGUUGCGUGAUGGUGAAAAUAUUGAGUCUCUAGCCUGCCAGAACUGUAGUCAGGGAAUUUC